GAGAUAUUUUUGGGUAGAGAAAAAGCUUCUAACUUUUCUCUCAAGUGGUUCGAUUCCACUUAUAUCUUA
RNAcentral lists this transfer RNA (69 nucleotides) under Upogebia yokoyai. RNAcentral's name for it is "tRNA-Ser". The record is from RNAcentral. Lineage: Eukaryota; Metazoa; Arthropoda; Malacostraca; Decapoda; Upogebiidae.